AUACGGAGGGUGCAAGCGUUAUUCGGAAUCACUGGGCGUAAAGGGUGCGUAGGCGGUUUGAUAAGUCUGAUGUGAAAUCCUAUGGCUCAACCAUAGAACUGCAUUGGAAACUGUCAGACUAGAAUACUGAAGGGGCAGAUGGAAUUAGUGGUGUUGGGGUAAAAUCCGUAGAAAUCACUAGGAAUACCGAAAGCGAAAGCGAUCUGCUGGGAAGUUAUUGACGCUGAGGCACGAAAGCGUGGGGAGCAAACGGGAUUAGAUACCCUAGUAGUCC
This 274-nucleotide ribosomal RNA is filed under the name uncultured bacterium. RNAcentral describes it as "partial 16S ribosomal RNA". It matches the Rfam family "Bacterial small subunit ribosomal RNA", at positions 523 to 796 of the family's 1533-position model. The record is from RNAcentral.